RNAcentral lists this long non-coding RNA (724 nucleotides) under Pan paniscus (pygmy chimpanzee). Its description in RNAcentral is "lncRNA (ENSPPAG00000045559.1)". The record is from RNAcentral. Lineage: Eukaryota; Metazoa; Chordata; Mammalia; Primates; Hominidae.
AGAAUGUCAAUAUUGUUGUGGAAGAAGAAAAAGCAGUGUCUUACUAAAGAAUAUCGAUUUUUUUAAAAAACUAGGAAAAAGAACAUGAUGAAAACUAGACACUGACAGGAUUGUAUGAGUCUUUAUAAACCUCAUAAGAAGCACAGUUCCAGGAAAGUGAGUCAGAAGUGUCAGUCCAAUGCAGCUCUCUGAGGAGAACAAAGGAAAAAAGGAAAGGUUAGAAAAAAAAAGCCUCCUGUCAAGAUAUCUGGAUACGCAUAUUGUUUUGACUAUUGGAUGGUAAAAAAAAAGAGAAGAAAGGAAGAAGGAAGCAAAAAAUUUAAGGUGAUGGAAAUUAGAGUCCUGCUUAAAAAAUACAGAUGUUCUGGAAUAUCAAGCAACAAUUUCAAGCUUUCACACUUCUGGAUUGAAACACAGUUUAAAGAGGGAAUAAAAACCUGAAGAAAGAGCCACAGGACUGGACUGGGCUAAGGCAUGUUAAUAGCCAUGUUCUAGAGAAGCGAUCUAUAAACUCCUCUGCUGAGGUCCCCACACCUGUCCUUGUUCUCUUUCUUCCUGAGGCUGAGUGUCUUUCCUGCUGUUCUGUGAUGCUUUUGCAACACUACUGAAUAAAUCUCUCUCCAGGAAUUGUUUUCUUUUUCAUGAAACACCUCUCUCCUCCCUUAUCUCACCACAAAAAAGUAAAAAAUAAAAAGAAUAUUUAAUGUUCAGAAUCCACAAGUUA